GAUGAACGCUGGCGGCGUGCCUAAUACAUGCAAGUCGAGCGAACGGACGAGAAGCUUGCUUCUCUGAUGUUAGCGGCGGACGGGUGAGUAACACGUGGAUAACCUACCUAUAAGACUGGGAUAACUUCGGGAAACCGGAGCUAAUACCGGAUAAUAUUUUGAACCGCAUGGUUCAAAAGUGAAAGACGGUCUUGCUGUCACUUAUAGAUGGAUCCGCGCUGCAUUAGCUAGUUGGUAAGGUAACGGCUUACCAAGGCAACGAUGCAUAGCCGACCUGUGAGGGUGAUCGGCCACACUGGAACUGAGACACGGUCAAGACUCCUACGGGAGGCAGCAGUAGGGAAUCUUCCGCAAUGGGCGAAAGCCUGACGGAGCAACGCCGCGUGAGUGAUGAAGGUCUUCGGAUCGUAAAACUCUGUUAUUAGGGAAGAACAUAUGUGUAAGUAACUGUGCACAUCUUGACGGUACCUAAUCAGAAAGCCACGGCUAACUACGUG
This 497-nucleotide ribosomal RNA is filed under the name uncultured bacterium. Its description in RNAcentral is "partial 16S ribosomal RNA". It matches the Rfam family "Bacterial small subunit ribosomal RNA", at positions 28 to 507 of the family's 1533-position model. The record is from RNAcentral.